This is an RNA transcript of Triticum aestivum (bread wheat), 4243 nucleotides long. It is a transcript of the gene named putative disease resistance protein RGA3, with no coding region annotated. The record is from RefSeq and is a predicted model, not a curated record. Lineage: Eukaryota; Viridiplantae; Streptophyta; Magnoliopsida; Poales; Poaceae. The transcript is spliced from 4 exons.
UACACCGGCGAUUCGCCGGAAGAAAAUCCACCCCCAAAAUCUCCCUGGCGGCGCGGAGCACGGACGGCCGAAGCUGCCGCUGCUGCUUCUCGGUGCCGUGGCAGGCAUCGUCGCCGGCGCGGGGGGUUCGGUUCGGACGAGGAAGUAGUGGCACGGCGCCGGGGAUGGUGGGGGGAAAGCGGAGAGCCGGCGGGGGUGGCGGCGGCGACGCCGGUGACGCCGGUGACACCGGCAUGGAGCAACUUACUCACAGUGAGCGACUGCUGUUAGAUGACUACUUAAUCUAUCUGAAUUACCGCAUAAAGGAAGCCCCAAUUGCUUUCUUGCCAUGGCUGCCAUUGCUUUGCUUUGCCGGCCACUCAAGGAAGGAACCAGCUGCUCUUCCCCCCACCUAAAGGAAAAUUAAGAUGCGGAAUAAUGGCUUUCUUGCCAAGGAGCCCAAGCUAAGUACCCCCACCUAACCAAGGCAACACACACACACAUACUGUUGAUUAACCAAUCCUUGGCCUGGGCCUGAGAACAAGAAACAGAGACCAUGGCCAUCGUGCUGGAUGCCUUCGCGUCCUAUGUCGCUGACAUGCUCAAGCAGGUGGUGGAGGACGAGGUGGGGAUGCUGCUCGGCGUCACCGGCCAGAUCGACAAGAUGGGCGUCAAGCUUGGGGACCUCAAGAAAUUCCUGGCCGAUGCCGAGAGGAGACGCAUCACCGACACCAGCGUGCAGGGCUGGGUGACCGAGCUCAAGCGCGCCAUGUACGACGCCACCGACAUCCUCGACAUCUGCCAGCUCAAGGCCAUGGAUCACCAUGCAGCAUCACGCAUGGGGUGCUGCAACCCGUUGCUCUUCUGCUUGCGGAACCCCCUCUCCGCCCAUGAAAUCGGCACCCGCAUCAGGGCGCUCAACCAGAAGCUCGACGACAUCAAGGAGCGAAGCGCUGCCUUCGGCUUCGACCUUUGUUCGUACGAGGACUCUAGCAGCAAGGUACAUUCCUCUCGCUUGUCUACCAGCCGCGAGACGUCGUGGGAGCUCGACCGGUCAGGUGUGGUCGGGGAGAAGAUCAAAGAAGACACAAGGGCACUUGUAGAAAUCAUGGUGAGAAGACCUGAGGUAGAAACCAGCAAUGCAGACAACAACAGAGUCAUGGCUUUUGCCAUUGUGGGUGUUGGUGGGAUCGGCAAGACCACCCUCGCUCGGAAGGUCUUCAACGAUGAAGCCAUAAAUGCCAAUUUCGACACCAAGAUAUGGUUGAGUGUCAACCAGGGCUUCGACAAGGUUGAGCUUCUUAGGACAGCCAUCACUCUUGCCGGGGGAAAGCACCGUAGUGAAAAAGCGUUGGCAGUGCUUUGGCCAAUCCUUAGUGAUGCCUUGACAGGGAAGAAGAUAUUCCUGAUAAUGGAUGACGUGUGGAGCCAUGAAGCAUGGGGUGAUGUGCUUGAAACACCCCUUGUUAAUGAUGUGGCCCGAGGUAGCCGUGUCCUCAUCACUACUAGAGAUACAAGAGUUGCCCGAGGGGUGAAAGCUGUGCUUCCCUACCACCACGUCGACAAAUUAGAUGAUGAAGAUGCCUGGUCAUUGCUCAGGAAACAGGUAAUUUCAAGUGAGACAGAUAGACCUGAAGUUGAUAUGCUUAAGGAUAUUGGAUUGCAAAUUGCUGUAAAAUGUGGUGGUUUGCCUCUUGCUGUCAAAGUAAUGGGAGGACUGUUGUGUCAGAAGGAUAAACAACGCCAUGAAUGGAAUAUGGUUCUGAAUGAUUCUAUAUGGUCGGCAUCUGAAAUGCCUGAAGAGCUAAACUAUUCAAUAUAUUUAAGCUAUGAAGAUUUACCUCCUUCCAUCAAGCAGUGCUUUCUAUACUACUCCCUUCUCCCUAAAAGUGCAGUGUGGUAUAAAAAUAGCAUUAUUGGUAUGUGGAUUAGUGAAGGAUUUCUUCAUGGAACCUCUGCUGACUUGGAAGAACUAGGAAGCAAGUACUAUAAGGAGCUGAUUCUGAGGAACCUUAUAGAGCCAGUUACAAAAUGGGCUGAUCAGCAAGUUUGCAGCAUGCAUGAUGUUGUUCGCUCAUUUGCUCAGUUUGUGGCUAGAGAUGAGGCACUAGCAGCUCAGAGUGGAGAGACUGGUUUCAUUACUAAACUUAGUUCACACAAGUUCCUUCGGUUGUCUAUGGAAAAGAAAGUAUCAGAAUCAGAUGGGUUGGACUGGAGUUCCUUACAUGCACAAAAGACACUGAGAACACUAAUAUUAGUUGGCCCUAUAUCUAUGAAGCCUAGUGAUUCGAUUGUUGAUUUUCCCUGCCUACGAACUCUACAUACAGAAUCUGUAGAUGUUGCUGUAUUGGUUGAGUCUUUGGGGAAACUCAAGCACUUGAGGUACUUGUUCAUAUGGAAAUCCGAUAUAUCAAGUUUGCCAGAUAACAUUGGAAAUAUGAAAUUUCUGCAGUUCAUUUGCCUUGUAAAAUGCCAGCAAUCUGUGAAACUUCCACAUAGCAUUUUGAAGCUAGCGCAACUGAGGUAUCUUAACUUUCAUGACUCUAGUAUAAAUGGUAUACCAAAGGGGUUCAGUGUUCUAACAAAUCUAAGGAACCUGCGUGGGUUUCCAGCCCAGACAGAUGGUGUUUGGUGUAGUUUGGAUGAGUUAGGCCCUCUUUCUGAGCUCAGAUCUCUUGGAGUGCAGAGAUUGGAGAAUGUGUCUGUUACCUCGUCUGCGGCAAAGGCAAAGCUUGGUGAGAAAGUUCAUCUGACCCACUUGUUUUUAUACUGCAGCAGUAUAUUGGGAGAUGAUGGGCUGAUUAAAGAUGAAAAGGGUGUCUCUGAGGAAGAACAGCGACAAAUUGCGGGUGUGUUUGAUGAGCUCUGCCCUUCGCCUAGCUUAGAGUAUCUUGAUAUAAAUGGAUUUUUUGGCCGACGGCUCCCAAGGUGGAUGAUGUCAAGAUCAGCACCGGUCUUCAAGAGCUUGAGGAUUAUAUUCAUGCUUGAUCUAGCUUGUUGCACCCAACUACCAGAUUGCUUGUGUCAACUCCCAUGUUUGCAGGACAUUACGAUCCGUCGCGCUCCAGCCAUCAAGCAUGUUGGACAUGAAUUCCUGCAAUCCUACCAGACACCGGCUGCGUUCCCGAGAUUGAGGAAGUUGGAGUUAACUGGAAUGGUGGAAUGGGAGGAGUGGAAGUGGGAGGAGCAAGUGCAAGCCAUGCCUCUUUUGGAGGUGCUUGAGCUCGAAAAUUGCAGAUUGAGGUGUCUUCCUCCUGGCCUUGCCUCACAUGCAAGGGCUUUAAAGUCUAUAUCUGCACAAAAUAACCAGCACCUCAACUCACUAGAGAACUUUGCUUCUGCUGUUGAGCUGGAAGUGGCUAAAAACCCCGACUUGGAGAGGAUCACUAAUCUUCCCAAUCUGCGGAAGCUUGAGAUCGAGGCUUGCCCAAAGCUGAAUGUACUGGAGGGUAUUUGUGCACUCCAGAGGCUCGUAUUGGAGGAUUAUGCCAUGGAAACACUUCCUGGAUACAUGCAAGAUGUAAACCCAAGGCAUUUUGAGUUACGCUGCAGCCUGACGUUGCUCACUUCCAUAGCCGCGGGACAAUCUGGCCCUGAGUGGGAUAGGUUCAGUCAUAUCGACCAUGUCAAGGCAUAUGCACCUGAUGAGAACAAUACAAGGAAAUGGUACGUGUUGUACACGAGAGAGCCCUGCAGCUUGAUCACAAAUGUCCGUCACUCCAUAUCUGCAGGGGAUGAACAGGAGGACCAGCAAGUAAUUUCAUGAGGAAUGAAGAGCAACAAGAAGUAGGCAGAAGAUUUCAGCAUUCUUUUGCAUGGAUCUUCAUCAGAUCUUGUGGAGGUGCAUGGAGAGAGGCAGGUUGAAGGCAAGCAAGCUAGACGGGCCUUAUAACCAUCUUCACCUUGUUGGUUGGCCAUAUCAAGUGCAGUGCAGUGCGAUCCUCCUACAACAAAGAGAAGCUCAUCAUUUACAAAACUCUGCAGCAAGACCAGUACUUGUGUGUUGAUGCAACUACAAAAUACCUGUAACUUAUUUGAUUAUGCAUUGUGUGCAUGCUUGUGUGUUGAUGCAACUACAAAAUACACACCAUAGACUGUGGCGGAUCAAAUGGUUCUGUUUUGAUAAUUACCGGAGUCAUGCAAAGGAAAGGAAGUAAGCGAGGAGCGCAACUUCUGGUUAGUUGUACUAGUACUUUUCAACAAGUUAUUCUUGGUACCAGCGGUAGCAUUUGAAAGAUAAUACAUGUAACUUACUAUUUGAUUA